This 460-nucleotide ribosomal RNA is filed under the name uncultured bacterium. Its description in RNAcentral is "partial 16S ribosomal RNA". It matches the Rfam family "Bacterial small subunit ribosomal RNA", at positions 338 to 795 of the family's 1533-position model. The record is from RNAcentral.
CCUACGGGAGGCAGCAGUGAGGAAUAUUGGUCAAUGGACGAGAGUCUGAACCAGCCAAGUAGCGUGAAGGAUGACUGCCCUAUGGGUUGUAAACUUCUUUUAUAUGGGAAUAAAACGUUCCACGUGUGGGAUUUUGUAUGUACCAUAUGAAUAAGGAUCGGCUAACUCCGUGCCAGCAGCCGCGGUAAUACGGAGGAUCCGAGCGUUAUCCGGAUUUAUUGGGUUUAAAGGGAGCGUAGGUGGAUUGUUAAGUCAGUUGUGAAAGUUUGCGGCUCAACCGUAAAAUUGCAGUUGAAACUGGCAGUCUUGAGUACAGUAGAGGUGGGCGGAAUUCGAGGUGUAGCGGUGAAAUGCUUAGAUAUCACGAAGAACUCCGAUGGCGAAGGCAGUUCACUGGACUGCAACUGACACUGAGGCUCGAAAGUGUGGGUAUCAAACAGGAUUAGAUACCCCAGUAGUC